CCCCACCAUGCCCACGUUCCAUGCAGGAAGAAAAAAAGAAGAAAGGAUAUUGGACAACUGAGAUCUCUGCUAAAAAUCAACAUCCUAUUAGCUAUGUCGUUUAAUUUUUUAACAAAGCUAUUUAAAAAAGCAUCUCCCUAAAAAUAUGAACAACUAAAUACUUGAUCUCAGGUGCCUCCUUAGCACAGUAGGCAGUGCGUCAGUCUCAUAAAUACUACGCUCUCUCCUCAAAAUAAGGUACUACAGAGGCAGCGAUAAACAAGAUCAAAACUGCUAUCCUUUUGGGCUAACUUCACUGCAAUAAGUCAACACUGCAGAGAAGGAAAAGGUCAUAAACACUCAUUCUGCCCACAUUCUCUAGUCCCAGCCCCAUAAGUUUUUAAACCAUGUGGAAUAUACUUUAUACAUCAGAUAAGCUCCUUAGGACAGGGUUCUGCACACUAGUAUGAGAACUAGAGAGAGAACAUGCUGGACAUGAGGACGUCAGACAGAGAAUCAAUAGGACCUUCCACAGGAGGUCCAAGAAGACAGCCUCUCGAAUGACCCAGGUCUCUAUUUGCGAUCCAACUUCCAAGCAAGAUCUGCACAAGCAGGAAGAAUGAGAAAAGAAGUUCAGAAAAGUCUGUAGGUGGAGGAUACCCAACUUUGCAAAUACAGGGAUGUCCCUCAGCUCUAAGAAGACUUCAUGGAGAAAAGCCCUUCAACAGGACACAUGCCAAGGGAGGAAUCUUCUUCAAAACAGGGUCUUGGUUGGCCAUCUCUAGCCACUAAGCCAGCCACUGAAUUUAUGUUUGCUAGGGUUUUUUGUAUUUUUUGUGGUUUUUUUUUUCUUUUCAAAGAAACACUAAACACCAGGGGUCCGCUAAGAACUGCACUGGUUACCGAAUUCAAGGUUCAGUUUUCUUGUUGACCCAACAAUUAUUAUGAUGACUAUUCUUUCUCCCCAGCGGUUACUUUGUUGUUACUGUUUUUUUAAUCACCACUAGUUCUCUUUCACCUUAAUUUCUAAACUGUGGUAGUAUCCUGUGUUAAGAGAACGUGGCCUUUAUAAUUUCUUCUUGGCGAAGAAGGGGAAGGAGAAGAGGAUGAUGAUGAUGAUGAAGAAGAAGAAGGAUUGGAAGAUAUUGAUGAAGAAGGAGAUGAGGAUGAAGGUGAAGAAGAUGAAGAUGAUGAUGAGGGGGAGGAAGGAGAGGAGGAUGAAGGAGAAGAUGACUAAUGGAACACUGAUGGAUUCCAACCUUCCUUUUUUAAUUUUCUUCAGUCCCUGGGAGCAAGUUGCCGUCUUUUUUUUUUUUCCUUUUUCUUUUUCUUUUCUCCUCACGUGCUCAUUCACCCUGUUUUUUGAAGUCUCCUUCUUCUCUCCCUUUAUACCAUGGUUCUCAGCUUAUUUUGGGGGGAAAUACCUUGAGCAGAAUAUAGUGGGAAAAGAAUCUCUACCCCUUUUUGUUCCAAAUUCAUUUUUGUCCCUUCCUGUCUCAACAAAAACAAAAACUUUAUGGAAUCAACACCACCGUGCUCUGUGGGAAAAAAGAAAAACCUUCUGCUCCCUUAGCUCUGCUGGAAGCUGGAGGGUGCUAGGCCCCUGUGUGGUAGUGCA
Neogale vison (American mink) is the source of this 1597-nucleotide long non-coding RNA. RefSeq lists it as uncharacterized. The transcript has 6 exons. NCBI's taxonomy places the organism in Eukaryota, Metazoa, Chordata, Mammalia, Carnivora, Mustelidae. The record is from RefSeq and is a predicted model, not a curated record.